RNAcentral lists this ribosomal RNA (397 nucleotides) under uncultured bacterium. RNAcentral's name for it is "partial 16S ribosomal RNA". It matches the Rfam family "Bacterial small subunit ribosomal RNA", at positions 523 to 918 of the family's 1533-position model. The record is from RNAcentral.
AUACGUAGGUGGCAAGCGUUGUCCGGAUUUAUUGGGCGUAAAGCGAGCGCAGGCGGUCUCUUAAGUCUGAUGUGAAAGCCCCCGGCUCAACCGGGGAGGGUCAUUGGAAACUGGGAGACUCGAGUGCAGAAGAGGAGAGUGGAAUUCCAUGUGUAGCGGUGAAAUGCGUAGAUAUAUGGAGGAACACCAGUGGCGAAGGCGGCUCUCUGGUCUGUAACUGACGCUGAGGCUCGAAAGCGUGGGGAGCAAACAGGAUUAGAUACCCUGGUAGUCCACGCCGUAAACGAUGAGUGCUAAGUGUUGGAGGGUUACCGCCCUUCAGUGCUGCAGCUAACGCAUUAAGCACUCCGCCUGGGGAGUACGGCCGCAAGGCUGAAACUCAAAGGAAUUGACGGGG